This 466-nucleotide ribosomal RNA is filed under the name Catonella sp. canine oral taxon 228. RNAcentral's name for it is "bacterial SSU rRNA". It matches the Rfam family "Bacterial small subunit ribosomal RNA", at positions 9 to 456 of the family's 1533-position model. Lineage: Bacteria; Bacillati; Bacillota; Clostridia; Lachnospirales; Lachnospiraceae. The record is from RNAcentral.
GAGUUUGAUCCUGGCUCAGGAUGAACGCUGGCGGCGUGCCUAACACAUGCAAGUCGAACGGAGAGCUUAAGUGGAAGUUUUCGGAUGGAAGCUUAUGUUCUUAGUGGCGGACGGGUGAGUAACGCGUGGGCAACCUGCCUCAUACAGGGGGAUAACAGACGGAAACGUCUGCUAAGACCGCAUAAGUCGGAUUUACCGCAUGGUAGGUUCGGGAAAAGAGCAAUCCGGUAUGAGAUGGGCCUGCGUCCGAUUAGCUGGUUGGUAAGGUAAUGGCUUACCAAGGCGACGAUCGGUAGCCGGACUGAGAGGUCGGACGGCCACAUUGGGACUGAGACACGGCCCAAACUCCUACGGGAGGCAGCAGUGGGGGAUAUUGCACAAUGGAGGAAACUCUGAUGCAGCGACGCCGCGUGAGUGAAGAAGUAUUUCGGUAUGUAAAGCUCUAUCAGCAGGGAAGAUGAUGACG